CGGAUAGUAGCUCAAUAGGAAGAGCACAUGCCUGUCAAGCAUGGGGUUGUCGGUUCAAAUCCGACCUGUCCGG
RNAcentral lists this transfer RNA (73 nucleotides) under Dysgonomonas sp. 521. RNAcentral's name for it is "tRNA-Asp". It matches the Rfam family "tRNA". Rfam says of the family: Transfer RNA (tRNA) molecules are approximately 80 nucleotides in length. Their secondary structure includes four short double-helical elements and three loops (D, anti-codon, and T loops). Further hydrogen bonds mediate the characteristic L-shaped molecular structure. tRNAs have two regions of fundamental functional importance: the anti-codon, which is responsible for specific mRNA codon recognition, and the 3' end, to which the tRNAs corresponding amino acid is attached (by aminoacyl-tRNA synthetases). tRNAs cope with the degeneracy of the genetic code in two manners: having more than one tRNA (with a specific anti-codon) for a particular amino acid; and 'wobble' base-pairing, i.e. permitting non-standard base-pairing at the 3rd anti-codon position. The record is from RNAcentral. Lineage: Bacteria; Pseudomonadati; Bacteroidota; Bacteroidia; Bacteroidales; Dysgonomonadaceae.